GAUGAACGCUAGCGGGAGGCCUAACACAUGCAAGCCGAGCGGUAGAGUUUCUUCGGAAACUUGAGAGCGGCGCACGGGUGCGUAACACGUGUGCAACCUACCUUUAUCUGGGGGAUAGCCUUUCGAAAGGAAGAUUAAUACCCCAUAAUAUAAUGAUUGGCAUCAAUUAUUAUUGAAAACUCCGGUGGAUAGAGAUGGGCACGCGCAAGAUUAGAUAGUUGGUGAGGUAACGGCUCACCAAGUCAAUGAUCUCUAGGGGUCCUGAGAGGGAGAUCCCCCACACUGGUACUGAGACACGGACCAGACGCCUACGGGAGGCAGCAGUGAGGAAUAGUGGACAAGGGGUGAGAGCCUGAUCCAGCCAUCCCGCGUGAAGGAUGACGGUCCUAGGGAUUGUAAACUUCUUUUGUACAGGGAUAAACCUACCCUCGGGAGGGUAGCUGAAGGUACUGUACGAAUAAGCACCGGCUAACUCCGUG
RNAcentral lists this ribosomal RNA (479 nucleotides) under uncultured bacterium. Its description in RNAcentral is "partial 16S ribosomal RNA". It matches the Rfam family "Bacterial small subunit ribosomal RNA", at positions 28 to 507 of the family's 1533-position model. The record is from RNAcentral.